This 400-nucleotide ribosomal RNA is filed under the name uncultured bacterium. RNAcentral describes it as "bacterial SSU rRNA". It matches the Rfam family "Bacterial small subunit ribosomal RNA", at positions 355 to 767 of the family's 1533-position model. The record is from RNAcentral.
UGGGGAAUAUUGCACAAUGGGCGAAAGCCUGAUGCAGCGACGCCGCGUGAGGGAUGACGGCCUUCGGGUUGUAAACCUCUUUCAGUAGGGAAGAAGCGAAAGUGACGGUACCUGCAGAAGAAGCGCCGGCUAACUACGUGCCAGCAGCCGCGGUAAUACGUAGGGCGCAAGCGUUGUCCGGAAUUAUUGGGCGUAAAGAGCUUGUAGGUGGCUUGUCGCGUCUGCCGUGAAAACCCGAGGCUCAACCUCGGGCGUGCGGUGGGUACGGGCAGGCUAGAGUGUGGUAGGGGAGACUGGAACUCCUGGUGUAGCGGUGAAAUGCGCAGAUAUCAGGAAGAACACCGAUGGCGAAGGCAGGUCUCUGGGCCAUUACUGACACUGAGAAGCGAAAGCAUGGGUA